AGCUGUCACGCUUGCCCACGGCACGCGACAGCUGUUCCCCUCUGGAGGUUUUGACCUUCAAACUUGUCAGGCCGCGGAGCAAUCCAGCGGCCUUCUUU
This 98-nucleotide small RNA is filed under the name Agrobacterium fabrum str. C58. Its description in RNAcentral is "Agrobacterium tumefaciens str. C58 Alphaproteobacterial ar15". It matches the Rfam family "Alphaproteobacterial ar15". The record is from Rfam by way of RNAcentral. Lineage: Bacteria; Pseudomonadati; Pseudomonadota; Alphaproteobacteria; Hyphomicrobiales; Rhizobiaceae. RNAcentral also lists the same sequence under 1 other name.